UACGGGGGGGGCAAGCAUUGUUCGGAAUUACUGGGCGUAAAGGGCUCGUAGGCGGCCAACUAAGUCAGACGUGAAAUCCCUCGGCUUAACCGGGGAACUGCGUCUGAUACUGGAUGGCUUGAGAUUGGGAGAGGGAUGCGGAAUUCCAGGUGUAGCGGUGAAAUGCGUAGAUAUUCGCAAGAACACCAGUGGCGAAGGCGGCUCACUGGCCCGAUACUGACGCUGAGGCACGAAAGCGUGGGGAGCAAACAGG
RNAcentral lists this ribosomal RNA (253 nucleotides) under uncultured bacterium. Its description in RNAcentral is "partial 16S ribosomal RNA". It matches the Rfam family "Bacterial small subunit ribosomal RNA", at positions 524 to 776 of the family's 1533-position model. The record is from RNAcentral.